Molecule: ribosomal RNA, 486 nt
Filed under: uncultured bacterium
Lineage: Bacteria
Description: partial 16S ribosomal RNA
Rfam family: Bacterial small subunit ribosomal RNA
Source: RNAcentral
AUUGAACGCUGGCGGCAUGCCUAACACAUGCAAGUCGAACGGCAGCACGGUUGCUUGCUCCUGGUGGGGAGUGCCGGACGGGGGAGUAUAACAUCGGAACAGGCCCCGUAUUGGGGGUUGGCCCGGCGAAAGCCGGAAUAAUACUACUACCGAACUACGUAUGCAAGAGGGGUACCUUGGUCACUCGCCCUUGCGCGAUGGCCGAAGGCGGAUUAGCUUGUGUGAGGUGUAAAGGCCUACCAAGGCCACGAUCAGAAGCUGUGCUGAGAGGACGAGCAAGCACACUGGAACUGAGACACGGCCCAGACUCCUACGGGAGGCAGCAGUGGGGAAUUUUGGACAAAGGGCGAAAGCCUGAUCCAGCAAUGCCGCGUGUGUGAAGAAGGCCUUCGGGUUGUAAAGCCCUUUUGUCGGGAAAGAAAUCCGUGGGCCUAAUACGGUCGGGGGAUGACGGUACCGAAAGAAUAAGCACCGGCUAACUACGUG